RNAcentral lists this ribosomal RNA (408 nucleotides) under uncultured bacterium. RNAcentral describes it as "partial 16S ribosomal RNA". It matches the Rfam family "Bacterial small subunit ribosomal RNA", at positions 29 to 526 of the family's 1533-position model. The record is from RNAcentral.
AGUGAACGCUGGCGGCGUGCCUAAUACAUGCAAGUCGAACGAAGUGGAGCACGGGUGAGUAAGAUAUAGUGAAUCAGCCCUACACAGAGGAACAACAGGUGGAAAAAGCGGCUAAUAAAACAGAGUGUCGGAUGAGACUAUAACGUAUCAGCUAGUUGGUAAGGUAAUGGCUUACCAAGGCUAUGACGCGUAACUGGUCGGAGAGGAUGAUCAGUCACAUUGGAACUGAUGCACGGUCCAAACUCCUUCGUGAGUCAGCAGGUAGGAGUAUUGCGCAAUGGGGGUAACCCUGACGCAGCUUCGCCGCGUGGAGUAUGACACUUUUCGGGGCGUAAACUCCUUUUAUCAGGAAAGCGGUACCUGAUGAAUAAGCACCGGCUAACUCCGUGCCAGCCGCCGCGGUAAUAC